Molecule: small nucleolar RNA, 136 nt
Filed under: Callorhinchus milii (elephant shark)
Lineage: Eukaryota; Metazoa; Chordata; Chondrichthyes; Chimaeriformes; Callorhinchidae
Description: Small nucleolar RNA SNORA33 (ENSCMIG00000016943.1)
Source: RNAcentral
UUGCCGGUGUCUUACAGCUGCUGAUCUGACAAUGUUCAGCAGCAGGAAUGAAUAAAACUGGCAGAAAUCAAAGUCAGAUAUACGAGCCUUCUGGACUCAACAUAUAGUCCUUAAGGUCCCUAAAAUGACUACAUUG